RNAcentral lists this ribosomal RNA (449 nucleotides) under uncultured bacterium. RNAcentral describes it as "partial 16S ribosomal RNA". It matches the Rfam family "Bacterial small subunit ribosomal RNA", at positions 28 to 523 of the family's 1533-position model. The record is from RNAcentral.
GACGAACGCUGGCGGCGUGCUUAACACAUGCAAGUCGAGCGAUCCCUUCGGGGAUAGUGGCGCACGGGUGCGUAACGCGUGGGAAUCUGCCCUUGGGUUCGGAAUAACAGUUAGAAAUGACUGCUAAUACCGGAUGAUGUCUUCGGACCAAAGAUUUAUCGCCCAGGGAUGAGCCCGCGUAGGAUUAGGUAGUUGGUGGGGUAAUGGCCUACCGAGCCGACGAUCCUUAGCUGGUCUGAGAGGAUGAUCAGCCACACUGGGACUGAGACACGGCCCAGACUCCUACGGGAGGCAGCAGUGGGGAAUAUUGGACAAUGGGCGCAAGCCUGAUCCAGCAAUGCCGCGUGAGUGAUGAAGGCCUUAGGGUUGUAAAGCUCUUUUACCAGGGAUGAUAAUGACAGUACCUGGAGAAUAAGCUCCGGCUAACUACGUGCCAGCCGCCGCGGUAA